This 443-nucleotide ribosomal RNA is filed under the name uncultured bacterium. RNAcentral describes it as "partial 16S ribosomal RNA". It matches the Rfam family "Bacterial small subunit ribosomal RNA", at positions 338 to 795 of the family's 1533-position model. The record is from RNAcentral.
CCUACGGGAGGCUGCAGUGGGGAAUAUUGGGCAAUGGAGGAAACUCUGACCCAGCAACGCCGCGUGAAUGAUGACGGUCCUCGGAUUGUACAGUUCUUUUCUUAGGGAAGAAGAAAGUGCCGGUACCUUAGUCAUAUGCCUCGGCUAACUACGAGCCAGCAGCCGCGGUAAUACGUAGGCGGCAAUCGUUAUCCGGAAUGACUGGGCGUAAAGGGUGCGUAGGUGGUUUGACAAGUUGGUAGCGUAACUUCGGGGCUCAACCGCGGCACUACUACUAAAACUGUCGGACUUGAGUGCAGGAGGGGCAAAUGGAAUUCGUAGUGUAGCGGUGGAAUGCUUAGAUAUUAGGAGGAACACCAGGGGCGAAGGCGAUUUGCUGGACUGUAACUGACACUGAGGCACGAAAGCGUGGGGAGCAAACAGGAUUAGAUACCCCAGUAGUC